ACGCUCGACACCUACGGGAAGCAGCAGUGGGGAAUAUUGCACAAUGGGGGAAACCCUGAUGCAGCGACGCCGCGCGAGUGAAGAAGUAUUUCGGUAUGUAAAGCUCUAUCAGCAGGGAAGAAGAUGACGGUACCUGAGUAAGAAGCCCCGGCUAACUACGUGCUAGCAGCCGCGGUAAUCUGAGCGGGCUGGCAAGGC
Molecule: ribosomal RNA, 198 nt
Filed under: uncultured bacterium
Lineage: Bacteria
Description: partial 16S ribosomal RNA
Rfam family: Bacterial small subunit ribosomal RNA
Source: RNAcentral